CCUCACAAAGCUCUCUCUCUCUAAAAAACCUGUAGCACUGACCGCUGUCUGACAGUCUGUCCGAAGCCCCUGCUUCUGCUCUCUGUCGGCGCCUCUCUGCGGUCUCUGCCUGCUGUUGCCGGGCUACCACACAUUCUGCCGACCACACCUCUAUCUCGGUUGCUAUCGAUUGUCCUCUACCACAGGCCAUCAGGGCCGUUUUAAAGGCUUCAAUCCGAGUCCUAAGCAAUGUAGCUCUCUUGACAGGACCCAAACAAGCAACUGAACCAUCUGAUCAAGCCCACAUGCUCCCGCAGCCGUCUGAUCGCGCAGAAACACUCUGUGGUCCGUGAUUCUCGCCCGUGGGCUGUCGGUCCACAUAAACAACCUGUGAGCCACGAGAAACCAAGGAGAAACGAUAUCUGAUCCAUGAUGGACCACGUGAAAUGCGUAGGAAAUGCACCUGGUUCAUGGUGGACCACGUGAAGGGAAGGGGGGCAUGCACUGGGCCGCGCCCGCCCGCGCACUGGCUUGGGCCGGGCCACGCGCCCAGCUGGCCCGCCUGCAGGCCUGUGUGCCUACGGGCCGGGAAUGUGGUCCUCCUGGGACACCUGGCCUGCGCUCCUGCGUGGGCUGCUCCAUCUUGGGCCUCACUGGUCUGAUCUUCGUUGCUAUGGGUCAAAUUCGAGAUGUUUUUCUCAACAAUUCUCCACCUCGACUAAACAUUCGGCCUCCACCUAACCUUGAGAGCUUUCUAGAUGAUCUCGUCCUCAUACCCUGGGACAUACGCCUGCUGAUUAUGGAUGGACAAACAUGAGAGUCGAGCCAGACCGCUCGAUCCUAUCUCCAUCAUAUGCUGUGCUCCGUCUGACCUGAGAUCUGCUUAGGAUAGCCUCCUAUGGCAAUAAAAACUUUAUCUUGUGACGUCGCCUGUCGUCCUCUCAAGUCUCGUAUCUCGUGUCCGAUCCACCUGCAUCUGAAGCUCCACCUCGCACUAGGCUCCCACUGGCUUCUAAAGCUUCACCUCGUGCUAAGCUUCCUGCCAAGAAGUAAUGUCCCCCAUACUUUCUUCCCCUCAUCACAAUCCUAAUACUACGCAAGACCUUUAGGAUUCCUCCAUCAGUUCUUCACCUGUAGCCGGUCGAAUCCAGUCUACUCAAUGAGAUCAAAUUUCUUCUGAAACUGGGUAUAUAUCAGACCUCAUCCAAUUUCUUGACUGUUCCAUCAUGUACCUUCAUGCUGACGGUCUCGAUAUCCUUGAUCGCACAGUUCGAUCUAUCUGGCAAACGAAUAAUACCCUCACUGCUCUCUAAGGAGUUAAACAGCUCCUCUCUGC
Molecule: long non-coding RNA, 1315 nt
Filed under: Elaeis guineensis (African oil palm)
Lineage: Eukaryota; Viridiplantae; Streptophyta; Magnoliopsida; Arecales; Arecaceae
Description: long non-coding RNA (EGUI_LNC021091)
Source: RNAcentral